This is a small nuclear RNA of Vicugna pacos (alpaca), 104 nucleotides long. NCBI's taxonomy places the organism in Eukaryota, Metazoa, Chordata, Mammalia, Artiodactyla, Camelidae. The record is from Ensembl.
AUGCUCGCUUCGGCAGCACAGAUACUAAAAUUGGAAUGAUACAGAGAUUAGCAUGGCCCCUGCGCCAGGAUGACACACACAUUUGUGAAGCAGUCCAUAUUUUU